CACACACACACGCACACACACACAUACACACACAACUUGACCACACUUGCACAUGCAUGUACAUGCUCAUGGGGAACGACAUGGUAAAAUAUUAAAUCUGUCCAUUAUAAACAAGAAAAAAUAUGAGCUAACUUGUGCAACUUUCUUUCAAUUAUUCAACAUUUAGUCCCAUGUCAAUCACAGGCAUCUAUCAAGCAUAAUGGUGCAUGCCUACUGUCAGCUGCUGUGGAGGCUGAUGCAGGAGGGUCUCCUGAGCCUGGGAUUCCCUAAGAAGCAAUUGAAAUUGGACCAGUGACUCCACUUGGCCUUAUUCAAAAGACUGAGAAGGAAAAGGCUGGCAAGCAAGAAUAUUAAGUCAAUUAAUAAUUCUUCAGUGGUUUCUACAAAUCCAAGAGAAAGCAAUAAAUAUGUAUGUCUCACUUUAAA
Rattus norvegicus (Norway rat) is the source of this 426-nucleotide non-coding RNA. NCBI's taxonomy places the organism in Eukaryota, Metazoa, Chordata, Mammalia, Rodentia, Muridae. The record is from RefSeq and is a predicted model, not a curated record.